RNAcentral lists this ribosomal RNA (255 nucleotides) under uncultured bacterium. RNAcentral describes it as "partial 16S ribosomal RNA". It matches the Rfam family "Bacterial small subunit ribosomal RNA", at positions 524 to 776 of the family's 1533-position model. The record is from RNAcentral.
UACGUAGGCAGCGAGCGUUGUUCGGAAUUACUGGGCGUAAAGAGUGUGUAGGCGGUGCUCCCAGUCUGUUGUGAAAUCUCCCGGCUUAACUGGGAGGGUGCAGCGGAAACUAGAGUGGCUAGAGGGUGGGAGAGGUAAGCGGAAUUCCUGGUGUAGCGGUAGAAAUGCGUAGAUAUCAGGAGGAACACCUGUGGUGUAGACAGCUUACUGGACCACUUCUGACGCUGAGACACGAAAGCGUGGGUAGCAAACAGG